Molecule: ribosomal RNA, 319 nt
Filed under: uncultured Tatlockia sp.
Lineage: Bacteria; Pseudomonadati; Pseudomonadota; Gammaproteobacteria; Legionellales; Legionellaceae
Description: bacterial SSU rRNA
Rfam family: Bacterial small subunit ribosomal RNA
Source: RNAcentral
GCGCUUUAAGAAUAGCCUGCGUCUGAUUAGCUAGUUGGUAGGGUAAAGGCCUACCAAGGCGACGAUCAGUAGCUGGUCUGAGAGGAUGAUCAGCCACACUGGGACUGAGACACGGCCCAGACUCCUACGGGAGGCAGCAGUGGGGAAUAUUGGACAAUGGGGGGAACCCUGAUCCAGCAAUGCCGCGUGUGUGAAGAAGGCCUGAGGGUUGUAAAGCACUUUCAGUGGGGAGGAGGGAUGACUGGUUAAGAGCUGGUUAUUUGGACGUUACCCACAGAAGAAGCACCGGCUAACUCCGUGCCAGCAGCCGCGGUAAUAC